Molecule: long non-coding RNA, 634 nt
Filed under: Lathyrus oleraceus (garden pea)
Lineage: Eukaryota; Viridiplantae; Streptophyta; Magnoliopsida; Fabales; Fabaceae
Description: Pisum sativum (pea) long non-coding RNA (PSAT_LNC031212)
Source: RNAcentral
GUUUGAGUUUCUUUUUACUAAUUCUGUUUUUGUUUUUGGGAAUUUUGUAAUGUACUUUUGGGUGGCUCUAGUUCACCAUGACUUUACCUUAGCACUUUAAUUUUUCUUUAGUAUUUUUAUAAUUGCAUGAGUACUUUUUGAAAUUUAAGUGUGUUUUUAAUCAAAUUGGUUUACCAACAUCUCUAUUUAAUUGUUCUUACUCGUAAGUCAAGCUUAAAGCAACCAAGAAUUGUUCGCAAAGAAAGAAGCAUAGGCUACUUCGAGUGGUGAUGAUAAGAAUUAGUGUCGGCAUUUCAAGGUACACUUUAUCGCUUUCUAGACUUAACAUGAGUAGUUUGAUGGUGUGUGCAAAUUCCAUUUCAUAAAUUCAUUGAAAUAUAUGUCAUCUUUGAAUCAAAAUAGGACCUAACCAUUUGUGAGGAAGCUUUCCAUUGUGCACUAAAAAGCGGGAAACCGAGCAUUAUGUUAACUCAUUCUUAUCAUGCUAAAUCAUGCAUCAAUCUAAUUUUGUGUGAAAUUUUUGAAAAUGAUAGAGGCAUUGUUUGUGAGAAAAACUACUUGACCAAAAAGCUUGAAUCAACUAACCUUGUGAGGAAUAAUCCUUAGUUAACCCCCUUUGAGCUUAAUUUAGGAU